This 458-nucleotide ribosomal RNA is filed under the name uncultured bacterium. RNAcentral's name for it is "bacterial SSU rRNA". It matches the Rfam family "Bacterial small subunit ribosomal RNA", at positions 588 to 1051 of the family's 1533-position model. The record is from RNAcentral.
UCAGUUGUGAAAGUUUGCGGCUCAACCGUAAAAUUGCAGUUGAUACUGGGUGUCUUGAGUACAGUAGAGGCAGGCGGAAUUCGUGGUGUAGCGGUGAAAUGCUUAGAUAUCACGAAGAACUCCGAUUGCGAAGGCAGCUUGCUGGACUGUAACUGACGCUGAUGCUCGAAAGUGUGGGUAUCAAACAGGAUUAGAUACCCUGGUAGUCCACACAGUAAACGAUGAAUACUCGCUGUUUGCGAUAUACAGUAAGCGGCCAAGCGAAAGCGUUAAGUAUUCCACCUGGGGAGUACGCCGGCAACGGUGAAACUCAAAGGAAUUGACGGGGGCCCGCACAAGCGGAGGAACAUGUGGUUUAAUUCGAUGAUACGCGAGGAACCUUACCCGGGCUUGAAUUGCAACUGAAUGAUGUGGAGACAUGUCAGCCGCAAGGCAGUUGUGAAGGUGCUGCAUGGUAA